GGGUUUUGGAGGUGUUCCAAGCGAAGCGAGAGGGUUAAGUAUCACGCGAGAGAACAAAAGCGAACUCGAUGCGAGCCUAGCCCAUGUGGGCCCACCAGAGGAAGGCCCGGCCCAAGAGCAAAGCAUCGGGUUCGCGUCUUCGCGAGGGAGGAAGGAAGGAAGCAAAAUGCUGACGUGUACAUAAACCGCUCGUCGGGAAAAAUGCCACUCCUCCCCGCGCCGUUCCGACCUCUCGCUCCCGCCGCCGCCGCGGCCUCCGCCGCACCGCGCCGCGCCACCGCCGGAGAGGGGGGCCGCUCGUCGCUCACCGGGGCGUUCUGUUCCUAAGCAUCGGCGCCGCCAGCGCCGCCGCCGUCGCCUGCAGGACGGGGUGCGCCUUCUCCCGCCGCCGCUUCCCCUUCCUCGGGGUAAGAGGUCUCAGCUCUGCUCGGAUGGAGUCCGCUUCCACCACCGUGCCAUCCAUUGUUGUGUAUGUGACUGUUCCAAACAGGGAAGCAGGGAAGAAGCUGUCACAGAGCAUCAUCAGUGAGAAACUAGCUGCUUGUGUCAAUAUAGUGCCUGGCAUUGAAUCUGUUUAUUGGUGGGAGGGAAAGGUGCAAACUGAUGCUGAAGAGUUACUCAUAAUCAAGACUAGAGAAUCUCUUCUAGAUGCCUUGACUGAACAUGUCAAAGCUAACCAUGAAUACGAUGUUCCUGAAGUUAUCGCUCUUCCCAUAACUGGUGGUAACACCAAGUACCUGGAGUGGAUCAAGAACAGCACCAAGGCAAACUGAUCUGGCAUUCACCCUGUUGUAUACGCGCGCUGCAGACCCGCAGCUCAAAAAUAUCCAACAACAUGAAGUAACUGAUCGGAUGUUCUCUGUUUGGCCUAUGUAUCACAGUGACAUUUGCUGCAAGGAAUAUAUGUGUGGUUGCCAUCUUGUGAGUUCUGAUGAGUAA
This is a non-coding RNA of Oryza sativa Japonica Group (Japanese rice), 939 nucleotides long. Lineage: Eukaryota; Viridiplantae; Streptophyta; Magnoliopsida; Poales; Poaceae. The record is from RefSeq and is a predicted model, not a curated record.